CGCUUCAGCGCAGCUUGAUGCAGCGACGCCGCGUGGAGGAUGAAGGCUUUAGGGUCGUAAACUCCUGUUAAGAGGGAAGAAAGACGGAUGGAUAAUACCCAUUCGGGAUGACGGUACCUCUAGAGAAAGCUCCGGCUAACUUCGUGCCAGCAGCCGCGGUAAUACGAGGGGAGCAAGCGUUAUUCGGAAUUACUGGGCGUAAAGGGCGUGUAGGCGGUUUACUAAGUCAGUUGUUAAAGCCCGUGGCUUACCCACGGAUGGGCAAUUGAUACUGGUGAACUAAGAGGGCAAGAGAGAGAAGUGGAAUUCUCGGAGUAGCGGUAAAAUGCGUAGAUCUCGAGAGGAACACCGAUGGCGAAGGCAGCUUCUUGGCUUGUACCUGACGCUGAGGCGCGAAAGCGUGGGGAGCAAACAGGAUUAGAUACCCUGGUAGUCCACGCCGUAAACGAUGAUCACUAGAUGUUGGUUUCGCUUAGCGAGAUCAGUGUCACAGCUAACGCGUUAAGUGAUCCGCCUGGGGAGUACGGUCGCAAGAUUAAAACUCAAAGGAAUUGACGGGGGUCCGCACGAGCGGUGGAACAUGUGGUUUAAUUCGACACUACGCGAGGAACCUUACCUAGACUUGACAUGUAGGUGACCGCCAUAGAGAUAUAGCUUUCCUGGUUUUACUAGGACACUUACACAGGUGCUGCAUGGCUGUCGUCAGCUCGUGUCGUGAGAUGUUGGGUUAAGUCCUUUAACGAGCGCAACCCCUACUGUUAGUUGCUAGCCUUCGGGCGCACUCUAACGGAACUGCCUUGGAAACAGGAGGAAGGUGGGGAUGACGUCAAGUCCUCAUGGCCCUUAUGUCUAGGGCUACACCACGUGUUACAAUGGCGAGUACAGCGGGGAGCGAAGCCGCGAGGCUGAACAAAUCCUUUAAAGCUCGUCUAGUCGGAUGAGUCUGAAAUCGACUCAUGAAGUGAAUCGCUAGUAUCCGUAUCAGACGACGCGGUGAAUACGUCUCGACUGUACAACCGCCGUCACACCAGAAGGCGCUCACACCCGAGUCGUAGCUAACUAGAGAGCCACCCAAGUUGGGUGGA
Molecule: ribosomal RNA, 1085 nt
Filed under: uncultured bacterium
Lineage: Bacteria
Description: bacterial SSU rRNA
Rfam family: Bacterial small subunit ribosomal RNA
Source: RNAcentral